CGCCCACGAUUCGAGGAAUCUGGGCAACUGAUGGAGCAACCCAGUUCCAGUCGACAUGGUAUUGCUGAGCUUGUACACUAUCACAGGGAUCUAAUGUAACUAGCAUGGACUUUCAUCCUUCACAUCAUACUUUCAUCCUUCACAUCAUACGCUACUACUAGUUGGAUCUGCGAAUGGUGAAUUUACACUUUGGAAGAUUGGUACACACGAGAAGCUGCUCUCUAAGCCCUUCAAAGUCUGGGACAUGCAAGCAUGUUCAACACAAUAUCAGUUUAAUUCUCAGAGUUCUUCUAUCUCUUCUCAAGGGGGCCUUGGGCUAGGGGUUCAGGGACCAGAAUUAUCAAUAUGUGCACACGCUGGGCAAACAAAAAGUGACGAGCAACAAGGCUUGGCCGAUGAUGUUGGUGUGGAGUCUGCUGCAACAACUGGACCGAUUAAGCACACCAAUGAAGAUGACACGAAGGCUCGUUGCUCGGUUGCCACGUGGAUGCUCUUUGGACUACGAUAUGGACAUGAAGGCAUUUGUUUUAGUGCCAAAUAUUACUUACUAAUGCCAGCAAAGUAUCGUU
This is a long non-coding RNA of Hordeum vulgare subsp. vulgare (domesticated barley), 569 nucleotides long. RefSeq lists it as uncharacterized. Lineage: Eukaryota; Viridiplantae; Streptophyta; Magnoliopsida; Poales; Poaceae. The transcript has 7 exons. The record is from RefSeq and is a predicted model, not a curated record.